AUUGGCCAAAAGAAGUGUUGUGUCUAGAAAUGUUCGCACAUGAAUCGUCAUAGGGCGUGCUACCCAUUGCUGGUCUCACCCAUGGGUCUUUAGCAUUGUAAUUACUGCUAUGAACCGCCGAAUACCUACCACAGCUUUAAGCUACUGGCUUUCCUGGGCUCUUCUCCAGCUUUCCAUGAGGACUACAGUGCAUCUCAUUUCAAGUAACCAACUGGUAAUCAAUAACCUGUGUGAAAAACACAAGAGGCAAGUAGCAGGAGAUAGAGCAGUGCAGAGUUGUGGACACCGUCCCGGAGUUGAAGAUUGCCUGCUCCUGCUUAACUCGAAUCUUGACCAGGUGAAUUAACUUCUCUAAGCCUCAGUUUUCCUUCCUGUGGAUUUCAGGAAAGAAGAGAGUGAUGUCGGCAAUAUGGCAGAUAAGGAAACUCCAGACCCUUGUUCAUCCAUAGAAGAUACUUUAAAAAAGAAAACUAGAGACUACUAAAAUAGCUUUAUAGGAGCUCUGGAAACCAGUCAAAGAUCUACAGCAACGAACUGACUACUCAAUAAAGAAAAGCCACAUUCAACAUUCAACAUGGUAGGAUACUUAGCGGCAUUUUUUUCUCUCCCUUAUCCUACCACCUCCCCAGCAUGGCACAGUCAGGAAGGAGCUGCCCAAUUCCUAGCUCCUCCCUCAGGCUGGAAGGAACAGAGUAGAACUCAUAUGUAACAUCUUAAUCAAUCUGUGGGCUACCUGAGGGAUUGGCUUCUGUCUGGCCUGAAUCAGGGCAUAGAGAAGGAACAGCAGCAUAGCUCAGAUCUUGGUCUGGCAGAAGCAGCAGAAAGCAGUGGCAGGUACCUCAAUGUGUGAAAACCGCAGGAGGACUGCAGACCUGCAGAUGCCUGGAGGACGAGAAUUUGGGCAGAGGAAU
This 911-nucleotide long non-coding RNA is filed under the name Equus caballus (horse). RNAcentral describes it as "lncRNA (ENSECAG00000047510.1)". Lineage: Eukaryota; Metazoa; Chordata; Mammalia; Perissodactyla; Equidae. The record is from RNAcentral.